GAUGAACGCUGGUGGCGUGCCUAACACAUGCAAGUCGAGCGGAGAUUUUGGAAGCAGAAAUGCGGAAGAUUUCUUAGCGGCGGACGGGUGAGUAACACGUGAGUAAUCUGCCUUCUGCAGGGGAAUAACAUUGUGAAAACAGUGCUAAUACCGCAUGACAUCCGACUGGGACAUCCCGGACGGACCAAAGGAGAAAUCCGGCAGAAGAUGAGCUCGCGUCCGAUUAGCUAGUUGGCGGGUAACGGCCCACCAAGGCUUCGAUCGGUAGCCGAACUGAGAGGUUGAUCGGCCACAUUGGGACUGAGACACGGCCCAGACUCCUACGGGUGGCAG
Molecule: ribosomal RNA, 333 nt
Filed under: uncultured Bacillota bacterium
Lineage: Bacteria; Bacillati; Bacillota
Description: bacterial SSU rRNA
Rfam family: Bacterial small subunit ribosomal RNA
Source: RNAcentral